RNAcentral lists this ribosomal RNA (503 nucleotides) under uncultured bacterium. RNAcentral's name for it is "partial 16S ribosomal RNA". It matches the Rfam family "Bacterial small subunit ribosomal RNA", at positions 30 to 523 of the family's 1533-position model. The record is from RNAcentral.
AUUGAACGCUGGCGGCAGGCUUAACACAUGCAAGUCGAGCGGAGUGAUGGUGCUUGCACUAUCACUUAGCGGCGGACGGGUGAGUAAUGCUUAGGAAUCUGCCUAUUAGUGGGGGACAACAUCUCGAAAGGGAUGCUAAUACCGCAUACGUCCUACGGGAGAAAGCAGGGGAUCACUUGUGACCUUGCGCUAAUAGAUGAGCCUAAGUCGGAUUAGCUAGUUGGUGGGGUAAAGGCCUACCAAGGCGACGAUCUGUAGCGGGUCUGAGAGGAUGAUCCGCCACACUGGGACCGAGACACGGCCCAGACUCCUACGGGAGGCAGCAGUGGGGAAUAUGGGACAAUGGGGGGAACCCUGAUCCAGCCAUGCCGCGUGUGUGAAGAAGGCCUUAUGGUUGUAAAGCACUUUAAGCGAGGAGGAGGCUCUUUUGGUUAAUACCCAAGAUGAGUGGACGUUACUCGCAGAAUAAGCACCGGCUAACUCUGUGCCAGCCGCCGCUGUAA